Molecule: small RNA, 382 nt
Filed under: Oryza sativa Japonica Group (Japanese rice)
Lineage: Eukaryota; Viridiplantae; Streptophyta; Magnoliopsida; Poales; Poaceae
Description: Os03g0284100
Source: RNAcentral
ACAGGAAGAUCAGGCAGGCCAAGACGAAGACAGAUAACUAAGAACCACCUACAUAUCCAACAUGGCAUCUGCUUUGACAGCUGGAGAGCUACGCAAUUCAUUCCAUAGCUGAAAGCAGCUCAUCGAUCCCCACAUUGGAGUGCUCAAUAAAUAAAACCCAUAUGAUUAUUUUCUGUGCCUGACUCCAGAUGAAAUUUGUGCUAUGGAGUGGACCACGCAUUUAAUUUUAAUAUGGCAAUCGGUAACAACUUAGAUGCGAUGGUUAUUUGUGACCUCCAGUUCCCUUGCAGAGAUCCACUUGGACACUUUGUCGAGUCUAAGGAGGAGCAAACCAUCUGACGUUUCUAUCGGAUCAUGAAUGCUAAAUCUUUACUCUACUACU